Molecule: small RNA, 115 nt
Filed under: Sinorhizobium meliloti 2011
Lineage: Bacteria; Pseudomonadati; Pseudomonadota; Alphaproteobacteria; Hyphomicrobiales; Rhizobiaceae
Description: putative ncRNA
Source: RNAcentral
AGCCGACGAAUUGUCGAGAGGACACAAACCAUGUGGCUCGAACUACACGACAACAACGGACCAAUUUUCGUCAACAUGGACGCUGUGACGCACUUCCAGCGGGUUGAAGGUCAAC